AUGUAUGUACAGGGUGAUGAUCCCUUCUGGAAACAGAAAUUCGUAGAAAAAGCAGUAAAGCCAACUGGGGAUAAAGCGGUCAAACCUUCUCGCCCCAAAACCAAAGCCGUCAAACGGACGUCAAAACGGAAAACGGCUGAACGGAUUAACAUGGAACUUGAUGAUGAUGCUGAUGAUCCGAAAGUUGAGGUAGAACUUGACUCACUUGGCUCCCUUUUCAUGCAUCUCAUUAACAAUGAUCUUCCUCAGGAGGACGCAGAAGGCAGUCAAGCUGAUGAUGUAGAGGUAAUUACCCUUUCCUCUGGUUCAGACUCUAAGCUAACACAAAAAACCCAUUAA
Molecule: ribosomal RNA, 339 nt
Filed under: Triticum aestivum (bread wheat)
Lineage: Eukaryota; Viridiplantae; Streptophyta; Magnoliopsida; Poales; Poaceae
Description: partial small subunit ribosomal RNA
Source: RNAcentral